Molecule: long non-coding RNA, 765 nt
Organism: Hyla sarda
Lineage: Eukaryota; Metazoa; Chordata; Amphibia; Anura; Hylidae
Exons: 3
Source: RefSeq, a predicted model, not a curated record
UCACACCCCUCACACGCCCAGAAGAGAGGGAGGAAGCGUCAAAGAAUGAAUGGGGAAAGAUCGGAGGCGGCUCACACCUACCGGUCACACAAUGCGGCCCCUGUGUCUGCUGACUGGAAACUGUCCGGAUAUCCCGGACAUUAUAGUAACAGGCGUCGUAUAGCGGACAGGCCGGCCUUACACGUACUACACUGAUACCUUGUCUUCUCAUCUCCUUGCUCGGCAAUUGUGGUUUCUUAAUUCAUAACUUUGAAUGAUUUGCUCUUGGAGUCUACGCAAGAGGAAAUUGCUGGGGUCCAACAACCCCAACUCUAAACCUGCUCCGCCACGGGAAGUUAUUCAAGAUCUGUGCUACGAUAUUCUAUGAUCUGCUUAGAACAAAGGAGUAACUUGAAGAUCCUAAACCCUAAUGCAAAAUCUGUAACAUGCCCCUGGAGUCUUCUUAUAUUGCAGAGAGGAAUUUGGCCCCCUUUGGGCACUAGGACUGGGUGUGACUGCUACCUCUGGGCCUGUUAUAGAGAGAAAUAACAUGCAUGGUGCAUGAAAAUUACUUUUUUUUUUCUUACUAGAGUACCCAGCGUUGCAUGUUUUUGCUACCUAAACCUUGUGGGAGAGAAAAAGCAAUGCAGCCCUUUAAUUUGCCUUAGAUUUCACUUGACCUAUAGCGUUACGUUUUCAUAACCUAAAAUAAUCAAUGAUUAACCAAUCAAUAAUUAAAUCAAUGCCAGUGCAGAAAAUAGAGAAGAUCAGUAACUACUGCUACUU